AGUAAGGUCAGCUAAAUUAAGCUAUCGGGCCCAUACCCCCGAAAAUGUUGGUUUAUACCCUUCCCGUACUA
RNAcentral lists this transfer RNA (71 nucleotides) under Canis lupus familiaris (dog). Its description in RNAcentral is "tRNA-Met". Lineage: Eukaryota; Metazoa; Chordata; Mammalia; Carnivora; Canidae. The record is from RNAcentral.